GAUGAACGCUGGCGGCGUGCCUAAUACAUGCAAGUCGAGCGAACAGACGAGGAGCUUGCUCCUCUGACGUUAGCGGCGGACGGGUGAGUAACACGUGGAUAACCUACCUAUAAGACUGGGAUAACUUCGGGAAACCGGAGCUAAUACCGGAUAACAUGUUGAACCGCAUGGUUCAACAGUGAAAGACGGUCUUGCUGUCACUUAUAGAUGGAUCCGCGCCGCAUUAGCUAGUUGGUAAGGUAACGGCUUACCAAGGCAACGAUGAGUAGCCGACCUGAGAGGGUGAUCGGCCACACUGGAACUGAGACACGGUCCAGACUCCUACGGGAGGCAGCAGUAGGGAAACUACCGCAAUGGGCGAAAGCCUGACGGAGCAACGCCGCGUGAGUGAUGAAGUUCUUCGGAUCGUAAAACUCUGUUAUUAGGGAAGAACAAAUGUGUAAGUAACUAUGCACGUCUUGACGGUACCUAAUCAGAAAGCCACGGCUAACUACGUG
Molecule: ribosomal RNA, 497 nt
Filed under: uncultured bacterium
Lineage: Bacteria
Description: partial 16S ribosomal RNA
Rfam family: Bacterial small subunit ribosomal RNA
Source: RNAcentral